GCCUUCGUAGUGUAGUGGUCAGCAUGCUCGACGUGUAUUCAAGUGUCCGUAGUUCGAGUCCCGGCGAGGGCA
This 72-nucleotide transfer RNA is filed under the name Stegodyphus mimosarum. It matches the Rfam family "tRNA". From Rfam's summary of the family: Transfer RNA (tRNA) molecules are approximately 80 nucleotides in length. The record is from Rfam by way of RNAcentral. Lineage: Eukaryota; Metazoa; Arthropoda; Arachnida; Araneae; Eresidae.